This is a long non-coding RNA of Gallus gallus (chicken), 1978 nucleotides long. RefSeq lists it as uncharacterized. The transcript has 4 exons. The record is from RefSeq and is a predicted model, not a curated record. Lineage: Eukaryota; Metazoa; Chordata; Aves; Galliformes; Phasianidae.
AGCCGGGAAGGAUGGAGGCACUGCGGGGAGGCAGCUCCGCCGGCGGUGGGAGGAAGGGUGAGGCCCGUAGGGCAUCCCCGGGCGGGAUGCGGUUACCUCCCGGGGAAAAGAGAACGCGAGGAAAGCGGAACCUCCGAGGAAGGUGGAGAGAGAGAGAGAGAGAGAGAUUGAGAGAGAGAGGGCUGCGGCUCCCGAGGAUGAAGAAAGGGCAGAGGGAGGCCGGGCCCGCGGGGAGGGAGAGAGGCUGCGGGUCCCCCCCAGGAGCAGUGAGCGGUACGCGGGGCCGGGCGCGGUGCAUCCGCGGGGCCGGCGGUGCUGAGCAUCGGGCGGGAGUCGCUCCCUCCUUUCCCUCUUCCCUUCUUUGCCACCGUCUCCUCCGCGUUCGUUCAUCCCGUCCGUUAACCCCAGAUCCGGGCUGCAUUCAAAGCAACCCAAGUUAUUAUUUAUUUGAAGCGGCAGGCUUUUCUAUUCUAUUCUUUUCUUUCUGUCUUUCUUUCUUUCUUUUUUUUUUUGCAGUCGUUUUGUUUGGCGAGCGUUAAACGCAUUCGUGGGUGGGGAUACGUCCUUUUAUGUCUCCUAAAUUACGGGUGCAAAUUCUAUUUGCUUUCAUUAUCACCGGCUUGGAUGUAUUAUUUUGACAGAGCUCGGGGUUAUUAAAAAUAACGCGGCCUUAAUCCUCGGCACCUGCAGAACGUCAUUUCGUUUGCGAACGAAACAGAUUUAAACUGGAAAGGGGCUCGAUCCCCAAAACAGGCUGUUCCUGCGUGGCUGUCUCGUAAUUCUGCUCCAAAUGGUGUUUCUAAGGGCCCGAUUCUGCCCACGGCACUGAUGCUCUGCCUGGGCUGCAGCCGCAGGGCCCCGCUGUCGCUGCAUGCUGGCAUUACGGAUCCCACUGCUAAUUCUUGCAUCUCUGUUUAUUCGUUUCCUCCCUCAUUCCCUCUCUAAAAGCCACAUGCCUGGAAGCCCCCGGAGAAGAGGAGGUUGCCCUUUUCCUGCUAGUGCUGUAGACUUCAGGGGUUGGUUGUUAUCUUUGGUUAUCUAGCUGUAUGAGUGGUGUCGAUUCUUCAUAAAGCUAGAUAACCGAAAGUAAAAAUAACCCCAUUACACGCCUGAGGAGGAUGUGGAGAAGAAAGGAAAUUCAUCGGGAGGAAGAGAAGGAAAACAAAAAGAAAAAUGAAAGAGAAAGAAAGAAAGAAGACGAAGGAAAGGAGAGGCGGAAAAAAGAAAGAACAGAGGGGAGGAAAAAAAAAAAAAAGACAACUUUUUGAGACUGGAAUUAAAAACCGAGUGCAGACAGUGGCUUCCCCUGCUGUGAUGCCCCACUCGUUUCCUGGGCAGCCAAGAGCAAUGCUUGAGUCCUGGUGGAAGUUCAUUCAGAAUUGCCUGGAGCGAAGGCUGGAGAGGAAAACCACAACCACAGCAGAGCCUGGACACGGGGAGCUGCUAGCAGGACCCAUCUCAGGGACAGUCACUGUGUGUACCUUCCUCCAUCCUCCUCCUGCUCCCAGCAGCUGAUGGCCUGGAGCAGCACAGAGCAAGCCUGGCAUCGGGCUAUAGGGACACCAGGAGCACCCCGGGGAUAGGACCCAACACCAUGCCACACUGGUGGAGAACACAAAGCUGGAAGAGGGGAAAAAAAAAAUCAACAGAAGAAGAAGAAAAGAAUGGAAACGAAAGUCUCCAAACUCAGGAGAUCUGUGUUAAUUGCUUACGAACGUCUCCAUCCCAAAAGUUAUCCGAUUGAUGUUGUCGUGCUUUUUUUUUGACAGCCUGUCUGUUAUGUAUUUUUUUUUAAAUAUUCAUGCACCGAAAUCUAAUUACUAGGCAAAUUUAAUGAUAAUGAAAUGAAGGCACUUUAGCAGAAAGCAUAGGGCCUUGUUAAUAUUUUCUCAGUCUCUGUCUUGCUCACAUUUUUUUUUCACCGCCGCCUUUCUUGCAGUAUAAAAGAAUUGCCAAAAAUAAAACUUGGAUUGCUGAA